GACGAACGCUGGCGGCGUGCCUAAUACAUGCAAGUCGAGCGAGCGGAACCAACAGAUUUACUUCGGUAAUGACGUUGGGAAAGCGAGCGGCGGAUGGGUGAGUAACACGUGGGGAACCUGCCCCUAAGUCUGGGAUACCAUUUGGAAACGGCUGCUAAUACCGCAUAAGCGCACAGUACCGCAUGGUACCGUGUGAAAAACUCCGGUGGUAUGAGAUGGACCCGCGUCUGAUUAGCUAGUUGGUGGGGUAACGGCCUACCAAGGCGACGAUCAGUAGCCGACCUGAGAGGGUGACCGGCCACAUUGGGACUGAGACACGGCCCAA
Molecule: ribosomal RNA, 325 nt
Filed under: uncultured bacterium
Lineage: Bacteria
Description: bacterial SSU rRNA
Rfam family: Bacterial small subunit ribosomal RNA
Source: RNAcentral